GGCUGAAAUUACGCCUUCCAUGAAGCUGGAAUUGCUAGUAAUGGCAGGUCAGCAUACUGCCGUGAAUACGUUCCCGGGCCUUGUACACACCGCCCGUCACACCAUGAGAGUUGGGAAUACCCGAAGCCUGUGAGCUAACUUAUAGAGGCAGCAGUCGAAGGUAGAAUCAAUGAUUGGGGUGAAGUCGUAACAAGGUAUC
RNAcentral lists this ribosomal RNA (199 nucleotides) under uncultured bacterium. RNAcentral describes it as "partial 16S ribosomal RNA". It matches the Rfam family "Bacterial small subunit ribosomal RNA", at positions 1303 to 1500 of the family's 1533-position model. The record is from RNAcentral.